RNAcentral lists this transfer RNA (77 nucleotides) under Betaproteobacteria bacterium RIFCSPLOWO2_02_FULL_65_24. RNAcentral's name for it is "tRNA-Met". It matches the Rfam family "tRNA". Rfam says of the family: Transfer RNA (tRNA) molecules are approximately 80 nucleotides in length. Their secondary structure includes four short double-helical elements and three loops (D, anti-codon, and T loops). Lineage: Bacteria; Pseudomonadati; Pseudomonadota; Betaproteobacteria. RNAcentral also lists the same sequence under 3 other names. The record is from RNAcentral.
GGGCCUGUAGCUCAGCCGGUUAGAGCAGAGGACUCAUAAUCCUUUGGUCCCUGGUUCGAAUCCAGGCGGGCCCACCA